ACUGCUCAGUAACACGUGGAUAACCUGCCCAAGGGUCUGGGAUAACCCCGGGAAACUGGGGAUAAUACCGGAUGGAUCACUAGUGCUGGAAUGCUUGGUGGUUUAAAGGCAACGCCUUUGGAUGGGUCUGCGGCGGAUUAGGUUGACGCCGGUGUAACGUACCGGCGUGCCUGUAAUCCGUACGGGUUGUGGGAGCAAGAGCCCGGAGAUGGAUUCUGAGACACGAAUCCAGGCCCUACGGGGCGCAGCAGGCGCGAAAACUCUACAAUGCAGGCAACUGCGAUAGGGGGACAUCGAGUGGCAUCCACCUUGGGUGCCUGUCCAACCGUCUAAAAAACGGUUGUUAGCAAGGGCCGGGUAAGACCGGUGCCAGCCGCCGCGGUAAUACCGGCGGCUCGAGUGGUGGCCGAUAUUAUUGAGUCUAAAGGGUCCGUAGCCGGCUUUGCAAGUCCCCUGGGAAAUCCAGCGGCUUAACCGUUGGGCUUUCAUGGGAUACUACAUUGCUUGGGACUGGGAGAGGUAGGAGGUACUCGGGGGGUAGGGGUGAAAUCCUGUAAUCCUCCGGGGACCACCGGUGGCGAAGGCGUCCUACCAGAACAGGUCCGACGGUGAGGGACGAAAGCUAGGGGCACGAACCGGAUUAGAUACCCGGGUAGUCCUAGCCGUAAACGAUGCCCGCUAGGUGUCACGACGGUCGUGAAUCGUCGUGGUGCCGUAGGGAAGCCGCGAAGCGGGCCACUUGGGAAGUACGGCCGCAAGGCUGAAACUUAAAGGAAUUGGCGGGGGAGCAC
Molecule: ribosomal RNA, 791 nt
Filed under: uncultured Methanosarcinaceae archaeon
Lineage: Archaea; Methanobacteriati; Methanobacteriota; Methanomicrobia; Methanosarcinales; Methanosarcinaceae
Description: bacterial SSU rRNA
Rfam family: Archaeal small subunit ribosomal RNA
Source: RNAcentral